This 290-nucleotide unclassified non-coding RNA is filed under the name uncultured fungus. Its description in RNAcentral is "partial contains 5.8S rRNA, ITS2 and 28S rRNA". It matches the Rfam family "Eukaryotic large subunit ribosomal RNA", at positions 668 to 961 of the family's 3401-position model. The record is from RNAcentral. Lineage: Eukaryota; Fungi.
AAGGAGUCCAACACACAUGCGAGUGCUUGGGUGGCAAACCCGAGCGCGCAAUGAAAGUAAAUGUAGGUGCGAUGCUUUACGGCUGCACCAUCGACCGGACUGGAUUUUUUUGGAAGAUCUGAGUAAGAGCAUGUUUGUUGGGACCCGAAAGAUGGUGAACUAUGCCUGGAUAGGGUGAAGCCAGAGGAAACUCUGAUGGAGGCUCGUAGCGAUUCUGACGUGCAAAUCGAUCGUCAAAUUUGGGUAUAGGGGCGAAAGACUAAUCGAACCAUCUAGUAGCUGGUUCCCUC